GGGGGUGUAGUGCAGUGAUAGAGCACUUGCUCUGAAUGUCCAAGGCCUGGGUUCAAUUCCCAGCACCACAA
RNAcentral lists this transfer RNA (71 nucleotides) under Neotoma lepida (desert woodrat). It matches the Rfam family "tRNA". Rfam says of the family: Transfer RNA (tRNA) molecules are approximately 80 nucleotides in length. The record is from Rfam by way of RNAcentral. Lineage: Eukaryota; Metazoa; Chordata; Mammalia; Rodentia; Cricetidae.